RNAcentral lists this non-coding RNA (135 nucleotides) under Streptomyces sp. Lineage: Bacteria; Bacillati; Actinomycetota; Actinomycetes; Kitasatosporales; Streptomycetaceae. The record is from RNAcentral.
UGUUUGUUAGGCUCCACUCGCCUCCCGUGGGGGAAGUCCGGUGGGAGUCCGGCGCUGACCCGCAACGGUGUGCACGGCGACCGAUCCGAAGGUCUCUGUGCGAGCCCGAUCACCCGCGGAGGCGUAGCGACCCGC